AGGGGGGUGGGUGGCACUCUGAAGGCUAUCCAGCACGAUCCGGCCCUUUCCCUUGGCAAUUCUGUGACACUUUCCAAUCUAAGGCCGACAGAGCAAGGCAACCAGAUUUUUUUCUACAGCACCCUCCCAGGUGAGCAGUGGGCCUGGAGCCCUUCUGUAACCUGGCAUCUGUAGGUCUUCUCAUUAAGAACGAGAGUCAGAAGAGGAAAGGACUUAACACUCAUUACAACUCAGUCAUGGGGUGAGUGAGCAAUGCAAACAGGGAAAACUCACUCCCACUUGGCCAGGGUGCGGGGUGGGUAUGGGAGGGGGCAUGCGCCUAGGCCUUUGCGCUCAUUGGGCAGGUAGCCCCUAGAUAAUGUUCGGACAGCACCCACUCACCCACGCCUGGCCAGUCAGCUGGGACAGGCAGGCCUAAACCAGCCGGCCUCACCUAGAGGCGUCUGCCCCCGAGGCAGACACCGCCCGACGCCCUCGCUUCAGCGGUUCCCAGGAGAGCAGGCGGCAGAGACCAAGUGAUCUACCGCUAAACCUGAGCCCACCUCGACCCUAUUUCUGACGUGUCCUCUGCUAGCGGGGGGAGUGGGAGGGAGAGGAAGGGGCCUCGGGGGGAUGGAUCCCUUAGCCGCUAUUGUCAACUUCCUCGGCAGGAGUGGAUGUCUGUAAAGGUUGGAAGGUAAGGUGGCUCUGGGAAUGGCCUAGCACGCUUCCACGCGGUAGUCGCUCAAAAGUUUCAAACAAGACCUUGUCCUACUGGCCGUGCCACUGGGUCGCGUCGCUCCAGGUCUCCCCUCCUCCCCUCCCCCUCGAAGUAGUGUCCCUGCCACUCCGCAGUUCCACCACCCACGCGGGCCCCCACGCUCACCUGUUGCAGCACUUUGUCCAGGGACUCCGCCCGCGCUAGGCUGUCUGCGCUGAGUCCACUCGCCUCGCGGCAUUGUGGACUCAGGGCAGCCGCCUCGGCGCGAACUAGCGACUUGUGCAGCGUCCCCACCUAAAAGCACCGAGGGUAACCCCAUGAGCCGCUGUGCCUCAACAGGCUCUGAAGCGUCCCGAGGUCCCCUCUUUCCCACCCUACCUGUCGGCUGCGCGGCUCCACCACUUGCCAAACUAGGAGGAUUAAGUCGGUCUCGUCCGAGCCUAGGUCCGGCCCCAGCGCACCGGCAGUGGCCCCGAACAAAACCACCAGCGACUGAGGUUCGGGACAAGGGUCUGUGGCCGAGUCUACUGCGGGAUCUGGGCCCGGGGGUGGGGGCGGCGGCGGCGGCGGAGUCAUGGCCGCAGAGGAAGGGGGCGCUCGGCCACACACGCGGACCGACGAGGCGCACACACGUACCGACCGACAGCAGACAGACGAGCUUGGGCGGGAUCCGGUGUGUUGGGGGCGGCACCUGCGGCCGGGUGUAGUGGGAGCUGCAGAGACCCGCCCGCGGUGCCCUUUGGGGCUGGGCGGUGCGGCUGCCUAUCCCUGCCUACUCCGGCGAGUUACCUGCGGCCCGGAGAGGCCACGUGAUCAGGACGGCCCAGGGAACCCCGCGGGAGGGCCAAAACCCUGCCCAGGAGGCAAGAGCUCACUUCUGCUGAGGCGUGCGCUCGCCGGCUGGAGUCCCACCUCUUGCUGCAGUCCGGCGAGACUCCUGGGACGAAUCCAUUCUUUCUCCUACUUCCUCUCUAGCAGGCACUCUGAGUCCUCCGCAAAAGAAUGUGCAGGAUCAGAGGCCUCUUUCCAUUCUGCAAGGGUCACGCAAGACCCAUGGAAUUCAACAGGAGGCAAUCUAGGGACUAUAAAAGGUCGCGACGUCUGGCUUGAGGUUAAUGGAAGUUACAAAGGGUCAAAAGCCGACAGUGAGCGCUACCAGGUGUCGGGUCGGCGUAGUGCCGGCAGUGCAAGGCGCACGUUACUGUGGACCUGAAGGCUCAGGCCUUGGUGCCAAGGCCGCCCUGUGGGCUCAGGAUAGUUUCCCACCUACUCGACUGUAAUUAGUACUCUGGCGAGAGUAAAAAGGUACUGGCGUGGGACUUAGAAUACAGGAUGCCACCGGCUGAAGAAGAACCUUGUGUGUUUGGAAAAGCGGGCUGCUUCCUAUCGGUCUUGGAUAAAAGGCAACCCAGAGCCCGGGUGCAUCCCUAACUCAUGCCCAAGGAAGGUCGUGCGGAGCCAGAGGACCUAGAAUGUAUAGUGCGCCUUCUGGGUUUGUCCACACAAUAGCGCAGGAACACAGCGACCCAAUAUAGUGAGAAGUGGCCGCAGCGCACACCCUGAGACCCUUCACCAGGCGGCCCACCCGGAGCCUGCCUACUCAGCCCCGCUACCACGAUAAGCCUGGAAUGUCAAAUAUUUGUUCUAGGAACCCAGUGAAACCUUGAGGUAAAGCCCCUCCCCUCCUCCCUCCCAUUCCGGAGCGCGCCUGCGUCAGUCCAGGCUUUCCGGUAAGGACACUCCCUUCCAACUAGUUCCUUCUCGACACCCCUGCAACCCAUCGUCCUGACUAUUUAAACUUCACAAGGUCUUCGCUACAGGCUCAGGUUCAGUGAGGCAGAGUCUUGGCUUCCCUACCCAGUUAUCCCAGAGCUACUGGUAUCGGUUUCUACCCACAACCUCCGAGCAAGGCUCCCCUUUCAACCUGUAGACCUCGCCUCCCGAUUCUCGGGAGAUCUUGCUGACUGUGGAAUCCCUGGCUGUUCCGAACCCCCUGGAAAGAAGCGGCUGUUCCCAGGUUUCUGCAAGGUAACGAAUCUGAAGAGUCAACAGAAUUGAGCGGCUCCAUUCAUUCGACUCUGGUUCUCUCAACCAGGCAUUCCCCAUAUUAAAACAAUUCCAGAACUUCAAA
Molecule: long non-coding RNA, 2831 nt
Filed under: Mus musculus (house mouse)
Lineage: Eukaryota; Metazoa; Chordata; Mammalia; Rodentia; Muridae
Description: RIKEN cDNA 1810019D21 gene
Source: RNAcentral